CUACCCUUGCUUUAUCUUCUUCUCUCCCCGCCAUUUUCUGCUCUUCUUUGUAGUAAUCACCUAUCUCCAAUACACUGCAGACCCGAUGUCACCAAUUUUCUAGACCGCACCAUACGGGCAGCGGUACAACAGCAUCUCUUUGAGAUAAACUCCCUUGACUGUCCCCGUGUACCGGGACCUGGUUUGCGGGGACCUGGUUUGCCGGAAACUGGUUUGCCAGAACCUGGUUUGCACGGACGUCGUUGGACGGCACCUGCUUUGCAGUUUCCCCAAGAGGAUACUACUUGCUUUAGUCCUCCGCCGUGGACGUCUAGUGCGAGGCAGAGACGUCGGCAGAAGAGAGAGCAGAGGGAAGAGGAGGAGGGCGAGAGGGAGCCAGAGAGAAGCAGGUAUGGUUCACCUCUUGUGGUCUCAGCUGUUGGUUCAUGUUGGUGUUCCAUUGGUGCCAUGUGGGUACUUUCCUCAGAGGUGUCAGUGUAGGGAAAACAGAUUGGUUUUGGGAGGGGGUAAAGAUUAGAGGGAAACAGGGUAACUGUUAGAUGGUUGGGAUUAGUGCUACAAGUUCAAAGAGUUUGGGUUCAAAUCCUUUCCAAUCUGUUCUAAU
This 604-nucleotide long non-coding RNA is filed under the name Gadus morhua (Atlantic cod). RNAcentral's name for it is "lncRNA (ENSGMOG00000028975.1)". The record is from RNAcentral. Lineage: Eukaryota; Metazoa; Chordata; Actinopteri; Gadiformes; Gadidae.